RNAcentral lists this ribosomal RNA (484 nucleotides) under uncultured bacterium. RNAcentral's name for it is "partial 16S ribosomal RNA". It matches the Rfam family "Bacterial small subunit ribosomal RNA", at positions 30 to 507 of the family's 1533-position model. The record is from RNAcentral.
AUUGAACGCUGGCGGCAGGCCUAACACAUGCAAGUCGAGCGGAUGAAGGGAGCUUGCUCCUGGAUUCAGCGGCGGACGGGUGAGUAAUGCCUAGGAAUCUGCCUGGUAGUGGGGGAUAACGUCCGGAAACGGGCGCUAAUACCGCAUACGUCCUGAGGGAGGAAGUGGGGGAUCUUCGGACCUCACGCUAUCAGAUGAGCCUAGGUCGGAUUAGCUAGUUAGUGGGGUAAAGGCCUACCAAGGCGACGAUCCGUAACUGGUCUGAGAGGAUGAUCAGUCACACUGGAACUGAGACACGGUCCAGACUCCUACGGGAGGCAGCAGUGGGGAAUAUUGGACAAUGGGCGAAAGCCUGAUCCAGCCAUGCCGCGUGUGUGAAGAAGGUCUUCGGAUUGUAAAGCACUUUAAGUUGGGAGGAAGGGCAGUAAGUUAAUACCUUGCUGUUUUGACGUUACCAACAAAAUAAGCACCGGCUAACUUCGUG